Molecule: ribosomal RNA, 115 nt
Filed under: Salvia splendens (bonfire salvia)
Lineage: Eukaryota; Viridiplantae; Streptophyta; Magnoliopsida; Lamiales; Lamiaceae
Source: RNAcentral
GCGAUCAUACCAGCACUAAUGCACCGGAUCCCAUCAGAACUCCGAAGUUAGGCGUGCUUGGGCGAGAGUAGUACUAGGAUGGGUGACCCCCUGGGAAGUCCUCGUGUUGCACCCC